RNAcentral lists this non-coding RNA (86 nucleotides) under Burkholderia vietnamiensis. Lineage: Bacteria; Pseudomonadati; Pseudomonadota; Betaproteobacteria; Burkholderiales; Burkholderiaceae. The record is from RNAcentral.
GCCUUGUGCCUGAAAGGGCGACGGUGCUGAGCCGGAGCGAGAAGUCAGCAGAGGCCGUAGUAGCCGCUGGUAUGGGGGCAAAGGGC